GUUCUUUUCUUUUCUCUUUUGUUCUUACUGAGUAGAUGGUUCUAGACGAUCAGAAGAGACAUCGGGGAAAUGGGGGUUUCUUGCCGGUGGAAAUUUCGAUCGCCUGUUGCAUGUUCGUGCUCUCCUCUCUCGGCUUCGUCGGCCGCUGUGGCUCAUCGCGUGAGAGUACUAUGAAAGAGCCCUCACAGAUGGUAUACUGGGCAUCCAAAGGGGUAGAGAGCCCGGAGUGAUGAUCUACAUGCUCUCACUAGGCCGUGGCGUUUCCAAAGCCAUAAGUUGCCAUGGAUGAGGAACGAAGUUCAAUUCCUUUUGGUGCUGCUAUGGGACAGGAUUGGACCUGAAACCUCAAUAUUUCUUCAGAACGUGUUCUACUUUUCCUUCUCAAUUUCCACGGGAAAAAAAUCCUCAACAUGGUUUUUUUGUAAAUAAAUUCAUUAUAUGCAUAAACCUUUUGACUUCAUCAUGCAACGUUAGAAUUUAAAGUCUCCCUGGUUGUUUCAUGAUAGAUUCCAUAUUCUGUUAUAGAAAAAUAUUUACUAGCUUCCUUGGUGGUUAGUUUUGAUUGAGGACACUUUAUUAGCCUGCUAUCCACCUUUCACUCAUGUCCUUGUUUCUUAUUCUGGUGUGGUAUUGAUUCUUUUAGUUAACCUGCUAUUGGAUAUUUUCGUCUUUUGCUAAUGUUUACUUGUGCAUCUUAAUUUGUGCGUACUUGUGCAUCUUACUUUUGUAUUUCUUUUUCCAUUUGCGAAACUUAGAGAGAGAAACACCUAUUCCAAAACCCUAACUGAGAGCUGACAGAUCAGUGAUGAAAUAGUCGAUUUGGUUUCGUUAAAGAGAAGUAAAGAGUGUACUGGUUUCCCAUUUUGAGCUAUUACACAGUUGUUUUAUUUUUCCCUUUCUCUCAAUUUUUUUGGGAGGAUAGCGAUUCCUUCCAACUUUUAUCUUCACAUAAUCAUAUACAAGGAAUGUUAUAGGGCCCAUUCGUUGAUACACUCAUAUUAAUUUAUUUGGGACUCUUUCGUAUCUAAAGCAGAAUAAAAACAGGAAUAGGAAAUUCAGAAAGUAAGUGUCAGCUAUUUGCUCCAGUUUUAGUGGUUUGUGCAUGAUGCCAAGGUUUGUGCAGUUAUUUUUCAUAUUAGCCUCAAGCAUCACAACUGAUAGGAUAACCCUGUAGGUUAAGACAUAUAACCUCAAUCAUGAUUGUGGCUGGAUGUGGACUAACAACCUACUGAAUUCAAUUUGGCUGGUAAACACUUAUUUUAAGGAGUUCAAGAUCAAGCCCUCAUGGAUGGAAUAACCAUUGAUAAGUUUGAAAGGAUGUACAUUUGCUGGGCUGCAUUAAAGAAAGGGUUCAUUGAGGGUUGUAGGCCCAUCAUUGGAGUAGAUGGUUAUCAUUUGAAAGGCUCCCAUGGAGGGCAAUUGUUUACUAUAGAUGGGAAUAACCAGAUAUAUCCAGUGGCUUAUGCAAUGGUUGAGGUUGAAGAUGAAGCAAGUUGGAGUUGGUUCUUGGAGCAUUUGAAGAAUGAUCUUGAGAUACCAAAUGAACCAACAUUCACAAUCAUUUCAGAUAAACAAAAUGUAAAUUUCAGUUCCAAUAUUGCUGUUACUCUAAUUUCCAUUGGUAUUCAAUCUUUCUAUUCCCUUAUUGCUUUGCUCUCAAAAACUUAUAUAUUUUGUUUGUUGAAUGCACAAGGUAUGCUGCUGGUGCUGUGAUGAAACUUAUUCAUGAUUGCCCAAACUUAUUCUAUGCUUAAACUUGUAACCAAAUAUGAAAUCCAAACUUAUUUUCUGCUGUUUACUGCCACUCUAAACUGUUAUUUUUUUGCUUUGGUUUGUCUUUCUUGCUGCUGUAAACUGCUGUUGAAUGCCCAAACUUUGUUUGUUGAGUGCACAAGGUAUGCUGCUGUAAAUGGAUGUUUUCUACUGCUGUAAACUGCUGCUGUAAAUAAAUGUUUUCUACUGCUGUAAAUGGAUCUUUUACCGUUCCUUGCAGGGGCUGAUAAAUGCAAUCAGUAACUUGUUGCCUUGUUUGGAACACAGACAUUGUGUUAGGCAUCUACACAGCAAUAUACAGGUCAAGCCGUUAAAGAAAGGUUGUGGAGUCUUGCUAGAGCUACCUAUAUGGGGAGGUUUAAAAGCCUAAUGAAAGAGUUCAAGAAAGAGGAUGGGGUAGCAUUCAAGUGGCUUGCUAAGCAUGAUGCCCACCACUGGUCUAGGUCUCAUUUCAGUGAGGCUCCCAAAUGUGACAUUCUCCUGUAUAACCUAUGUGAGUCUUUUAAUGCUGCCAUACUAGAUGCUAGGGACAAACCAAUUCUGACCAUGCUAGAGAGGAUUAGGAUUUAUUUGACAAGGCAUUUAGUGAGGAGGGGGGCUUCUGUUGAGAAAUGGCAUGGUCAGAUAGGUCCAAAGAGUACAUUGUUGUCUUAACUGGGGACUACCAAUUUGAAGUUGGGGGUUUUCCUGGAACAGUUCUGCAUUGACAUGAAUGCCCAAACAUACUCUUGUAGAAGACGGGAGUUGACAGGCAUCCCUUGUGCACACACACUUGCUGUCUUUAGGGAAACAAAAUAGAAAGUUCAAGGCAUUGUGCAUGACUACUACCAGAAGCAAACAUACGUCAAAACCCACAAGCAUGUGAUAUAGUCCAUUAAUGGAAUGGACAUGUGGGAGAAGAUAGAUAAACCACCAAUUCAGCCACCACAUUCCACUAGAAAGUCUGGGAGGCCUAAGAAAUGCAGGAGGAGGGAAGCAGAUGAGCCACUUGCUCAAAGUGAAGAUGGAACCAAGAAAUUGAGGAGAUUAUCUUAAGAAAUUGAGCUGUAGAAGAUGUGGGAAAAAAGGGCACAAUGUGAGGACGUGCCCAUCUGGUAAAAAGGGAGGUGAAACCAAAGAAAAGCAAUGUGAAGAUGCAACCAAAGAAAAGCAAUGCAGUCUGGUAAUCACACAACCAACAUUCAGUCAGCCAUCACAACCCACACCCACAAUCACAAGAGCUCCGAAGGCGCCAACUAAAAGGUUAAGUGUAGCUAAAAGGGGAGGUGUCCGUUAAGUUUCUAUCUUUAAAUGUCUUUAUCUAAGUUUAAGACCAAAUUUUAUCUACUGUUAUGGUGGUUUGUAUUGCCCUGGCUUUUGGUGCCUUGUUUGGCAUGGCUAUUGAUGCUUGUUCUGCUUUUGUGAUGGCUAUUGAUGCAUUGUUUAGCUUGUGGUACUAUUAUGGCUGAACCUAAGGAAUGACCUUGUUUUGUUAAUAGAGACAUUUGUUGGAACUAUUAUGCCUUCUUGUGUUUUUGUGGUUGUUGCUACUGCUAAUGCCUUUUUUUUCUUUUUGCAAAUGCAUGUUUUCAAAUAAAUCACUCUUUGGCUUUAAAAUAGCAUUCCAAUCAAAUGCGACAGGAUACAUGAAUCCAAAGUAAUUGUCCAACCAAAUUACAAUUAACAUUUUAAUGAAUAAGACGAUGCUGGCAGGAGUGCCCCCCUUCAAAAACAGUAUUAUCUUACUUGAGCCCUUUUAAAAUCCCAUUUAUUUUUACCAUAAUCCCUCUAAAGUUGACAAAUACUUACAUUUUUACCAUAAUCCCACAAAAUACUGCAAUAUUUAUCAAGACAAGAAUGCGACCAUAUUCUCAUUAAAAGGUUUUUUUCCAUGUUCUAUUCAUUGACCUAAUGCUUAAGUCGUAGGUCAAAUUGGCUUCAGGUAAAAAGUUUUUUUAUUUAUUAAUUUCCCUUGUUCUCCAAGAAAGAAAAAAAAGUGCAAUAAGUUUAUUUCCUGUGUGUAAGCUGACUUUUUCAUGACAAUCGUAUGUUCUAUUGUUUGGUAAAGUAGGCUUAUGAAUUGAUUGUGGCUGGAUAUUUUGGUAGUUAAGUUACAGGUUAGAUGGAUUUUUUUUUUUAAUUUAGAAAAGAUGGUGAAUACGUUCAUUAUUAACCUAAUGUUAAGGUAUACAUCUGGAGUGGGAGGGUUGAGCAAGUUUAGGAGUACACAAGUUUGGCUUUCAUUUGUGCCCCCUUUUUAAUUAACCGUGUUCAAGUUUCAGGAAAAUACCCAAGUACCUUUAAAAAGGUUCGCCUUGGGGGGUUACAGUGUUAAAGACUUACCUUAUGCAAGUCACGUGGCUUAGCAUACAACAUACACAUCACUAUUAACUACAAAUCAAUUAAAAAUAGGCGAACCAGUUUGACUAUGACUAACGCUAUUUAAGACCUGAAUCCAUUUGGGGAAAUAAAAUUCUUUUGUGUAAUGGUUAUUUAAUGCUGUUUUGAGUUUGAUCUUGAAUCUUUUUCUUCUUUCUAUUCUGCAUUGCAGAAGUUAUAUCUUAUUCUGAGUGAAAAGGUUUGAAGCUUGUGGUUAAUAUAAUAGUGAUCAUUAAAAGAACUUUUCCCAAAAGCAUCAUCAUAAUCUUAGGUGAUUACCCGUUUUCGAUGGCCUAUGCCACUUCCUUAGCUGUAGCUUGUUAUGUUUUUACUUUUACAGGUUUGAGAAGGUGAAUGAGUGAUGAAAAGAUAAGUGAAGAAGCUCAUUGAAGCCACAAAUUCACAGAAAUCAGCGCCCAAAACCAUCAGACCUAAGGAGUUAGUGAUCUAACUGUCAUUGGAACUUGGAAGAAACAUCAUCAACGGAAUUGGUGACCCAAGGAUGUUUCUUUCAGCUACACUUAUGGUCAUAAGCCUGGUAUGAGUGUCAAUCGUGAUGUUCUCUCCAAAUGGUCUCGAUGUUAUUUUGGACGGAGCUUGAAGUUUAGUAACGCUUGGACUGGAUAAUGUAUUUGUAUAUCGAGGAUCAAUGUUCUUAUUUUGUGUCAAUAAAUUGUGUUGUACUUGGUCUGUGCCUAAUUUACUCUGAACUCUGCCUAAUUUACUCUGAACUCUAAAGUACAAUUGCCUAGACUUACUUUCAAUAAGUAAAUCUUUUCCUCUCUAUAAUUUCAA
Molecule: long non-coding RNA, 4926 nt
Organism: Rhododendron vialii
Lineage: Eukaryota; Viridiplantae; Streptophyta; Magnoliopsida; Ericales; Ericaceae
Exons: 5
Source: RefSeq, a predicted model, not a curated record